CGGACAAUAUACAAGGUGCUGCAUGGUUGUCGUCAGCUCGUGCCGUGAGGUGUCGGGUUAAGUCCCAUAACGAGCGCAACCCCUACUGCUAGUUGCCAGCGGGUCAUGCCGGGGACUCUAGCGGAACUGGCCAGCGUAAGGCUGGCGAGGAAGGUGGGGAUGACGUCAAAUCAGCACGGCCCUUACGUCCAGGGCUACACACGUGUUACAAUGGCCGGUACAGAGGGCAGCCACCCCGCGAGGGGGCGCGAAUACCCGAAAGCCGGUCCCAGUUCGGAUCGGAGUCUGCAACCCGACUCCGUGAAGCUGGAUUCGCUAGUAAUCGCGCAUCAGCCACGGCGCGGUGAAUACGUUCCCGGGCCUU
RNAcentral lists this ribosomal RNA (364 nucleotides) under uncultured Rikenellaceae bacterium. RNAcentral describes it as "bacterial SSU rRNA". It matches the Rfam family "Bacterial small subunit ribosomal RNA", at positions 1023 to 1382 of the family's 1533-position model. The record is from RNAcentral. Lineage: Bacteria; Pseudomonadati; Bacteroidota; Bacteroidia; Bacteroidales; Rikenellaceae.